This 755-nucleotide ribosomal RNA is filed under the name uncultured bacterium. RNAcentral's name for it is "bacterial SSU rRNA". It matches the Rfam family "Bacterial small subunit ribosomal RNA", at positions 108 to 882 of the family's 1533-position model. The record is from RNAcentral.
GAGUAACACGUGAGGAACCUGCCUCGAGAGUGGGAUAGCUUCUGGAAACGGAUGGUAAUACCGCAUAACAUAGCGAAACCGCAUGAUUUUGCUAUCAAAGUAUUUCGCUCAGAGAUUGCCUCGCGUCUGAUUAGAUAGUUGGUGAGGUAACGGCUCACCAAGUCGACGAUCAGUAGCCGGACUGAGAGGUUGAACGGCCACAUUGGGACUGAGACACGGCCCAGACUCCUACGGGAGGCAGCAGUGGGGGAUAUUGCACAAUGGGGGAAACCCUGAUGCAGCGAUGCCGCGUGGAGGAAGAAGGUUUUCGGAUUGUAAACUCCUGUCGUAAGGGAAGAGGAAGGACUGUACCUUACAAGAAAGCUCCGGCUAACUACGUGCCAGCAGCCGCGGUAAUACGUAGGGAGCGAGCGUUGUCCGGAAUGACUGGGUGUAAAGGGAGCGUAGGCGGGAUGGCAAGUCAGAUGUGAAACCUGAGGGCUCAACCUUCAGACUGCAUUUGAAACUGCUGUUCUUGAGUGAAGUAGAGGUAAGCGGAAUUCCUGGUGUAGCGGUGAAAUGCGUAGAGAUCAGGAGGAACAUCGGUGGCGAAGGCGGCUUACUGGGCUUUUACUGACGCUGAGGCUCGAAAGCGUGGGGAGCAAACAGGAUUAGAUACCCUGGUAGUCCACGCUGUAAACGAUGAUUACUAGGUGUGGGGGGAUUGACCCCUUCCGUGCCGCAGUUAACACAAUAAGUAAUCCACCUGGGGAGUA